Molecule: long non-coding RNA, 972 nt
Filed under: Salmo salar (Atlantic salmon)
Lineage: Eukaryota; Metazoa; Chordata; Actinopteri; Salmoniformes; Salmonidae
Description: lncRNA (ENSSSAG00000112411.1)
Source: RNAcentral
GUAAGGAUUAUUUUACUUUGGUGUAUUCAAUACUGGGGGUUUGUGGGCUAUUUACUUACAUUAUUGCUGCUGUUGGACAAACAACAGGUGCAUCAGGGCUGCGCAGGCAGGGGCUCGCAAGCUGUUAUCCAGGCAAUUGCCUCCCUCCCCCACCACCCAAAACAAUUUCUCUCCAAGGUUACUGUUAUGCUAGUUGACUGGCUGCCAGAACAGAGCACCUCUCCCCACAACAAUACAGCGACUAGGGUCUGGUUUCAAUGAUGGACUCUUUUUGCCUACGUCACUACUUUAUCCGCUUUAAUAAAAUACAAAACAGUAGCUAGCAAGAUGGUGCAUGAGUGCAUUUCACAAGUGGCUAGUUUGUGUUAACUACCUUAACUAAAACCACUGCAAAUAUUUUUUUUUGCAAACUUUGGUUUUGAAUCGCGACGUUCAGGCAUGUCUGCCUCGUAAUCUGUUGGGAGUCCCCGGCAAAGUUUUUUUCGCUUAUCGACAUAGGAAGUGACAAAGUUUCUCAUUGCAACCAGACCCUAGUCACUGUGUUGCUUAGGGUCAGGUUUUCAGGAGUAGCAGGGGAUGCACAUGCCACAUUGAGGUUUCCAGAGAGAUUAAUUCCACCACCCCAGGACCAAGCAGCGUGCUCAGGAGGAGCAAGGAUCCUGGGCCUGGGAGGAAAGCCAGGAGUGGAGGACAUCCUGGGCUUGGGCCGAAAUAAUGUCAGGAGACAAAAGCCUGCCAUGGAAGCAGGCGGAAGCAGCGAAGGAGGAAAGGCGAUGACAUCGGGGCUCGCGGCCACAACGUAGGAAGCCCGAGAAGCAGCCUCAAAAAAAAAUGGGGGGGCACACGGGGUGGUCGGCGGUGCCGAGGUGUGUGCUGAGGUGUGAACCAGAGCCAGUCCACACGGGGUGGAAAUAAGCUUUUAGCCCUACAAAGCUGUACGUUUCGUUGGUUAAUCUUUAUUGUUUUGUUGCC